RNAcentral lists this ribosomal RNA (465 nucleotides) under Vreelandella stevensii. Its description in RNAcentral is "partial 16S ribosomal RNA". It matches the Rfam family "Bacterial small subunit ribosomal RNA", at positions 338 to 795 of the family's 1533-position model. Lineage: Bacteria; Pseudomonadati; Pseudomonadota; Gammaproteobacteria; Oceanospirillales; Halomonadaceae. The record is from RNAcentral.
CCUACGGGAGGCAGCAGUGGGGAAUAUUGGACAAUGGGCGAAAGUCUGAUCCAGCCAUGCCGCGUGUGUGAAGAAGGCCUUCGGGUUGUAAAGCACUUUCAGUGGGGAAGAAAGCCUUGGGGCUAAUACCCUCGAGGAAGGACAUCACCCACAGAAGAAGCACCGGCUAACUCCGUGCCAGCAGCCGCGGUAAUACGGAGGGUGCGAGCGUUAAUCGGAAUUACUGGGCGUAAAGCGCGCGUAGGCGGUCUGAUAAGCCGGUUGUGAAAGCCCCGGGCUCAACCUGGGAACGGCAUCCGGAACUGGCAGGCUAGAGUGCAGUAGAGGAAGGUAGAAUUCCCGGUGUAGCGGUGAAAUGCGUAGAGAUCGGGAGGAAUACCAGUGGCGAAGGCGGCCCUCUGGACUGACACUGACGCUGAGGUGCGAAAGCGUGGGUAGCAAACAGGAUUAGAUACCCGGGUAGUC